AUUGAACGCUGGCGGCAGGCCUAACACAUGCAAGUCGAGCGGAUGAAGGGAGCUUGCUCCUGGAUUCAGCUGCGGACGGGUGAGUAAUGCCUAGGAAUCUGCCUUGUAGUGGGGGAUAACGUCCGGAAACGGGCGCUAAUACCGCAUACGUCCUGAGGGAGAAAGUGGGGGAUCUUCGGACCUCACGCUAUCAGAUGAGCCUAGGUCGGAUUAGCUAGUUGGUGGGGUAAAGGCCUACCAAGGCGACGAUCCGUAACUGGUCUGAGAGGAUGAUCAGUCACACUGGAACUGAGACACGGUCCAGACUCCUACGGGAGGCAGCAGUGGGGAAUAUUGGACAAUGGGCGAAAGCCUGAUCCAGCCAUGCCGCGUGUGUGAAGAAGGUCUUCGGAUUGUAAAGCACUUUAAGUUGGGAGGAAGGGCAGUAAGUUAAUACCUUGCUGUUUUGACGUUACCAAAAGAAUAAGCACCGGCUAACUUCGUG
RNAcentral lists this ribosomal RNA (484 nucleotides) under uncultured bacterium. Its description in RNAcentral is "partial 16S ribosomal RNA". It matches the Rfam family "Bacterial small subunit ribosomal RNA", at positions 30 to 507 of the family's 1533-position model. The record is from RNAcentral.